This 459-nucleotide long non-coding RNA is filed under the name Pongo abelii (Sumatran orangutan). RNAcentral describes it as "lincRNA". Lineage: Eukaryota; Metazoa; Chordata; Mammalia; Primates; Hominidae. The record is from RNAcentral.
UUGUGAAGAGGUAGCAAGAGAGCAGCAAUCUACAAGCCAAGGAAAGAGGCCACAGAGGAAACCAACCCUGCCAGCAUCUUGAUCUUGGACUUCCAGCUUCCAGAACUAACCAGGGACCACACUCCCAUGCUGACAGUAUGGGCUGCUGUCUUCAGGACCAUUGCAAGUGUCCUUCACGGUUCGGUUCACAUUUCACAAGCCCAAUGAAGUCUAUCUGGAUUUUCGGUAAUGUUUCCUGUCUCUGAAAUCUUAUGACAUGUAUGUCUGUAUCAGCCAUUUGAUGCUUGAUUAUCUAUUUUUCAGAUGGAUGUCUUGCCUUUUCCUCUACAUACUACAGGAAGAGUGGCCACCCCUGCCAAGGGCCUAGUAUAGUACCCUAUACAUGUAGCUGAUCAGUUGAUUGUUACUGAUCAUAUAUAUCCUGCAUCAUGUUAUAAAAAAUUAACACAGUGCUUGGCA